This 26-nucleotide ribosomal RNA is filed under the name Pulsatilla chinensis. RNAcentral describes it as "Anemone chinensis partial 26S ribosomal RNA". The record is from RNAcentral. Lineage: Eukaryota; Viridiplantae; Streptophyta; Magnoliopsida; Ranunculales; Ranunculaceae.
GGAUUACCCGCUGAAUUUAAGCAUAA